UACGAAGGGGGCUAGCGUUGCUCGGGAAUUACUGGGCGUAAAGCGCACGUAGGCGGCUUUCUAAGUCGGGGGUGAAAUCCUGGAGCUCAACUCCAGAACUGCCUCGAUACUGGAAAGCUCGAGUCCGGGAGAGGUGAGUGGAACUGCGAGUGUAGAGGUGAAAUUCGUAGAUAUUCGCAAGAACACCAGUGGCGAAGGCGGCUCACUGGCCCGGUACUGACGCUGAGGAGCGAAAGUGUGGGGAGCGGAACAGG
Molecule: ribosomal RNA, 254 nt
Filed under: uncultured bacterium
Lineage: Bacteria
Description: partial 16S ribosomal RNA
Rfam family: Bacterial small subunit ribosomal RNA
Source: RNAcentral